ACAACGCUGACGCCGAGUCGCCAAAGGACACUUCACUUGGACGCUUGCCUGGGCACGUAGCCGCUGGUCGUUCCGGAAGUCUGAGCCAUCUCCGGACGCUGAUCCAAGUUUUGCAGUCUCAAUGCGGAAAGUGUCUGCACGCGUGUUUGCUGGUGGCAUCAAACCACAGAAAGCCUCGCGCCUGCGAUGGCCUCAGGAUCUACGGUUGGUCAGCUCUUCGGAAAGCUUUUUGUGUGUCCGUCUUUAGUUCACGCUUGUCUUCGCUGCCUGGUUCACCGAGGAACGUUCUCUUGUUGCGUAUGCGUUGAACUGGAGUCUUGGAUGGGCUUGGUACAGCAUGGAUUCCUGCACGCGUUCAAUGCUCUAGUCGGAUGAGCAGGUGCGCAGCUUUUUCGCGCUACAGCUCGUAUGGCGCCUUGGGCCUCCACCAUCAAACGGAGCAAAUCGUUGGUCAUUGCCUUGUCAAACUCAUUGAACUAUUCCGCGAAUGCAUGCUUCGUGCCGCCUCACAAGGGGAAGCGCUGCCGACCCCAGCGGGGUCUCUGGUAUCCCUGCCAAGGAGCGUCCGCGUGAGCCGUUUGGACGCUCAGGUACGCAGUGCAUGAAGCGUCCAAAGCGUCCUCCUCCACGUCAGCUGAGUACGGUACUCGGAGUGGCGAGGCGCCCGUCGCGACACCGUCGUUGCGCUCGUGCGUUUACCUCCUGGCGUCUAUGAUGUCUGACGCUCGUCAACAUCGAGCAGCAGAAGACUUGAACAGCUUCAUCUGCAUGCAUAUUAGGUAUAGGGCUCCGUCCUGUUGAUAUACAUGCACGAUGACGGCAGUGAUGUGCUUCAAGCUGGAUUCACGCUCACAACAAAGUCUGUUUCUUCUCCUACCUUGAAUGGUUGGGAAUUCGUCUCGUUACGCAGCUUGGAUCCGGGUUCCACAAAGUACAUGCAGAUUGGUAUGGCGUCGGUCUGCAUCGCUCCGGUGAACUUUUUUUCAGCUGCUCCCUGUCAUGGAGACAACGUAGGAUGAGCUCGCCCGAUGCUCUUCGCGAAUCGGUUCGAGGGUUUCACAGCUGGUCGCCCCAGACCAGGUUCUUCUGCAAUGCGUAACGUACGAGGCCGAGUUGCAUCCAUGUGACCGCCAUAUUCUACAUCCGUUUUUUGACGUCGGGAUUCAGACGCACUGGGUGGACGGUCAGACUACAGCUCGCCAUUUCGAUGUAUCCGUCAAUAGUUCCUGGGGUGCCUGUUUGUCGCCAUGUCCGUCGCGAGGACGCCGACGGCGUGAAGCGUGCCUCACCGCUCCCUCCUGCGCAUGAGCCGAGAAGCAACGCAGCAGUUCAGAUCUGGAAAAGGUAGCAGAGAGCGUCUUGUCGAAGAACAUCGCUAGUACGGAUGCAAACGACGUGUCUGUUGAUCCGAGAGUGUAGAAACCGCGAUUUUCCGCAGAGAACACGCUUCGGCCUGGAUUAAAUCGGAGACAAUGGACAGCCGUGGAGAGCUGCUUACGCCUCGACGGAUGUCCACUGAUGGAAAGCGCCGUUACCUAGCACCAGGACAUGAACCUGUGCAGGACAAGCCAUAGAGUGCUUCGACGAUGCAUGGGGUGCUGAACAAUCCUGUCCGUCUGGUGCAUUGUGGGUGGACAUUUUAUUCAAUUGCCACCAGGGUUGACGUGGUCGUCAUUCGCGAAUGACGCUUUUUUACAUACAUCGGUUUGCCCGUCUUUGAGCCCAAUGUAAAAACGCCCACCAUUUCUCCUGAAUCAAAUCUCAUCGAGGGAGGCGAUCACCCGUCGGGCCG
This is an RNA transcript of Cyanidioschyzon merolae strain 10D, 1792 nucleotides long. RefSeq lists it as hypothetical. Lineage: Eukaryota; Rhodophyta; Bangiophyceae; Cyanidiales; Cyanidiaceae. The record is from RefSeq and is a predicted model, not a curated record. The transcript has a single exon.